AGUGGCGCACGGGUGAGUAACGCGUGGGUAACCUGCCCCCGAAUUCGGGAUAACUUCGCGAAAGCGGCGCUAAUACCGGAUAUCGUCCCAGGGGCUUUGGUCUCUGGGAUGAAAGAUGACCUCUCCAUGGAAGUUGUCGUUCGGGGAGGGGCUCGCGUACCAUUAGCUUGUUGGUGGGGUAAUGGCCUACCAAGGCGACGAUGGUUAGCUGGUCUGAGAGGAUGAUCAGCCACACUGGCACUGAAACACGGGCCAGACUCCUACGGGAGGCAGCAGUGAGGAAUUUUGCGCAAUGGGGGAAACCCUGACGCAGCAACGCCGCGUGAGUGAAGAAGGCCUUCGGGUCGUAAAGCUCUGUCAAGUGGGAAAAACGUCAGACGAUGAACAGUCGUCAGGCUUGAUGGUACCACUGGAGGAAGCACCGGCUAACUCCGUGCCAGCAGCCGCGGUAAUACGGAGGGUGCAAGCGUUGUUCGGAAUUACUGGGCGUAAAGAGCGUGUAGGCGGCAAGGUAAGUCAGGCGUGAAAGCCCUGGGCUUAACCCAGGAAGUGCGUUUGAAACUGCCUCGCUAGAGUAUGGGAGAGGAGAGUGGAAUUCCCGGUGUAGAGGUGAAAUUCGUAGAUAUCGGGAGGAACACCCGUGGCGAAGGCGACUCUCUGGACCAAUACUGACGCUGAGACGCGAAAGCGUGGGGAGCAAACAGGAUUAGAUACCCUGGUAGUCCACGCCGUAAACGAUGAGCACUAGGUGUAGCGGGUAUUGACCCCUGCUGUGCCGUAGCUAACGCAUUAAGUGCUCCGCCUGGGGAGUACGGCCGCAAGGCGUAAAAACUCAAAGGAAUUGACGGGGGCCCGCACAAGCGGUGGAGCAUGUGGUUUAAUUCGACGCAACGCGAAGAACCUUACCUGGGUUUGACAUCCCCUGACCGCCCGGGAAACCGGGUUUACCCUGCUGCAGGGACAGGGUGACAGGUGCUGCAGGCGUCGUCAGCUCGUGUCGUGAGAUGUUGGGUUAAGUCCCGCAACGAGCGCAACCCCGCUUUUUCUUAGUGCCAGUAUUCAGUUAGGCACUCUAAAGAGACUGCCUCGGCUAACGGGGAGGAAGGUGGGGAUGACGUCAAGUCCUCAUGGCCUUUAUACCCAGGGCUACACACGUGCUACAAUGGGUCGUACAAUGGGUUGCGAAGCCGCGAGGUGGAGCCAAUCCCAAAAAGCGGCUCUCAGUUCGGAUUGGAGUCUGCAACUCGACUUCAUGAAGGUGGAAUCGCUNAGUAAUCGUGGAUCAGCAUGCCACGGUGAAUACGUUCCCGGGCCUUGUACACACCGCCCGUCACACCACGAAAGUCGGCUGUACCAGAAGUUGCCGGGCUAACCUUUCGGGGAGGCA
RNAcentral lists this ribosomal RNA (1387 nucleotides) under uncultured organism. RNAcentral describes it as "16S ribosomal RNA". It matches the Rfam family "Bacterial small subunit ribosomal RNA", at positions 94 to 1451 of the family's 1533-position model. The record is from RNAcentral.